Molecule: ribosomal RNA, 296 nt
Filed under: uncultured bacterium
Lineage: Bacteria
Description: partial 16S ribosomal RNA
Rfam family: Bacterial small subunit ribosomal RNA
Source: RNAcentral
AACUAACGCUGGCGGCGCGUCUUAAACAUGCAAGUCGAGCGGGGUAGCAAUAACCUAGCGGCGAACGGGUGAGUAACACGUGGGUAAUCUUCCUCCGAGUCUGGGAUAACUUUCCGAAAGGAAAGCUGAUACCGGAUAGUCCUACUGGAUCACAGGAUCUGAUAGGUAAAGAUUUAUUGCUUGGAGAUGAGCCCGCGGCCGAUUAGCUAGUUGGUGAGGUAAUGGCUCACCAAGGCGACGAUCGGUAGCCGGCCUGAGAGGGUGUCCGGCCACAAUGGAACUGAGACACGGUCCAU